RNAcentral lists this ribosomal RNA (248 nucleotides) under uncultured Oscillospiraceae bacterium. Its description in RNAcentral is "partial 16S ribosomal RNA". It matches the Rfam family "Bacterial small subunit ribosomal RNA", at positions 524 to 771 of the family's 1533-position model. Lineage: Bacteria; Bacillati; Bacillota; Clostridia; Eubacteriales; Oscillospiraceae. The record is from RNAcentral.
UACGUAGGUGGCAAGCGUUGUCCGGAUUUACUGGGUGUAAAGGGCGUGUAGACGGAUGUGCAAGUCAGAUGUGAAAUACCGGGGCUUAACCCCGGGGCUGCAUUUGAAACUGUACACCUUGAGUGCGGGAGAGGUAAGCGGAAUUCCUAGUGUAGCGGUGAAAUGCGUAGAUAUUAGGAGGAACACCAGUGGCGAAGGCGGCUUACUGGACCGUAACUGACGUUGAGGCGCGAAAGCGUGGGGAGCAA